RNAcentral lists this ribosomal RNA (429 nucleotides) under Gemmatimonadota bacterium. Its description in RNAcentral is "Gemmatimonadetes bacterium partial 16S ribosomal RNA". It matches the Rfam family "Bacterial small subunit ribosomal RNA", at positions 355 to 776 of the family's 1533-position model. Lineage: Bacteria; Pseudomonadati; Gemmatimonadota. The record is from RNAcentral.
UAGGGAAUCUUCGGCAAUGGACGAAAGUCUGACCGAGCAACGCCGCGCGAGUGAAGAAGGUUUUCGGAUCGUAAAACUCUGUUGUUAGAGAAGAACAAGGACGUUAGUAACUGAACGUCCCCUGACGGUAUCUAACCAGAAAGCCACGGCUAACUACGUGCCAGCAGCCGCGGUAAUACGUAGGUGGCAAGCGUUGUCCGGAUUUAUUGGGCGUAAAGCGAGCGCAGGCGGUUUCUUAAGUCUGAUGUGAAAGCCCCCGGCUCAACCGGGGAGGGUCAUUGGGAACUGGGAGACUUGAGUGCAGAAGAGGAGAGUGGAAUUCCAUGUGUAGCGGUGAAAUGCGUAGAUAUAUGGAGGAACACCAGUGGCGAAGGCGGCUCUCUGGUCUGUAACUGACGCUGAGGCUCGAAAGCGUGGGGAGCAAACAGG